GUCUACGGCCUUACCACCCUGAACACACCUAACCUUGUCUGAUCAUGGAGGCUGAGCGGGGCCAGGCUUGCUUAGAACGUAGACA
This 85-nucleotide ribosomal RNA is filed under the name Dipodomys ordii (Ord's kangaroo rat). Lineage: Eukaryota; Metazoa; Chordata; Mammalia; Rodentia; Heteromyidae. The record is from RNAcentral.